RNAcentral lists this ribosomal RNA (402 nucleotides) under bacterium. Its description in RNAcentral is "partial 16S ribosomal RNA". It matches the Rfam family "Bacterial small subunit ribosomal RNA", at positions 355 to 776 of the family's 1533-position model. The record is from RNAcentral.
GGGGGAAUUUUGCACAAUGGGGGAAACCCUGAUGCAGCGACGCCGCGUGAUUUAGAAGGCCUUCGGGUUGUAAAAAUCUUUUUUACGGGAUGAAAAUGACAGUACCGUAAGAAUAAGGUCCGGCUAAAUACGUGCCAGCAGCCGCGGUAAUACGUAUGGACCGAGCGUUGUCCGGAAUCAUUGGGCGUAAAGGGUACGUAGGCGGCCUAGUAAGUUAGAAGUGAAAUAAUAUAGCUCAACUAUAUAAAGCUUUUAAAACUGCUAGGCUUGAGAGAUGGAAGGGAAAGUGGAAUUCCUAGUGUAGCGGUGAAAUGCGCAGAUAUUAGGAAGAAUACCGGUGGCGAAGGCGACGUUCUGGUCAUCAUCUGACGCUGAGGUACGAAAGCGUGGGUAGCAAACAGG